AACCCGGUGAACUGAAACAUCUAAGUAGCCGGAGGAAGAGAAAUCAAACGAGAUGCCCACAGUAGCGGCGAGCGAAGAGGGCAGAGCCUAAACCAGUCAUCUUCGGAUGGUUGGGGUUACGGACCUGCAUCAACCGAGUCCUACCUAGUCGAAUUACCUGGAAAGGUAAGCCAGAGAGCGUAAGAGCCGCGUAGGUGAAAGGAAGGACGAGGGGGCAGGGAUCCAGAGUACCACGAAGCACGAGGAAUUUUGUGGGAAGUCGGGGGGACCACCCUCCAAGGCUAAACACUUCUUAGUGACCGAUAGCGCAUAGUACCGUGAGGGAAAGGUGAAAAGAACCGCGGGAGCGGAGUGAAAGAGAACCUGAAACCGUAUGUCUACAAGCAGUCGGAGCGCAAGCGACGGCGUGCCUAUUGAAGAAUGAGCCAACGAGUUACGGGCACCAGCGAGGUUAAGCAGGAAAUGCGGAGCCGGAGCGAAAGCGAGUCUAAACAGGGCGAAUAGUUGGUGUUCGUAGACCCGAAACUGUAGUGAUCUACCCAUGAUCAGGUUGAAGCGCAGGUAAAAAUGCGUGGAGGACCGAACCGGUGAGCGUUGAAAAGCUUUCGGAUGAAUCGUGGGUAGCGGUGAAAUUCCAAUCGAACGCAGAGAUAGCUGGUUCUCCUCGAAAUAGCUUUAGGGCUAGCCUCAAGCAGUAAGCAUAGGCGGUAGAGCACUGAUCGGGAUAGGGUCCGUAAAGGAUACCGAACCCUGUCAAACUACGAAUGGUUAUGCUGCAGAGCUUGGGAGUCAGACUACGAGAGAUAAGUCCCGUUGUCAAAAGGGAAACAGCCCAGACCGUCAGCUAAGGUCCCCAAUGCCAUACUAAGUGGAAAAGGAUGUGGGGUCUCAUAAACAACCAGGAUGUUGGCUCAGAAGCAGCCACCAUUUAAAGAGUGCGUAAUAGCUCACUGGUCGAGAGGCCCUGCGCCGAAGAUUCCCGGGGCUAAAGUAUGGAACCGAAGCUACGGAUGCGGUACUUGUACCGCGUGGUAGAGGAGCGUUCCCAUUGGGUUGAAGUCGUCCUGGAAGGGACGGUGGACUGGUGGGAAGUGAGAAUGUUGGCAUGAGUAGCGAAAAGAUAGGUGAGAAUCCUAUCCACCGAAAGCAUAAGGAUUCCUGAGCAACGAUCGUCGUCUCAGGGUAAGUCGGGACCUAAUCCGAGGCAUGGAGCGUAGGAGAUGGACAACUGGUUGAUAUUCCAGUACCGGCAGCAAUCGUUUGAACGAUGGAGUGACGCAGGAAGGCAGGUCCGCGCGAGAAUGGUAGAUCGCGUACAAGCGUGCAGGCUGGUGCACAGGCAAAUCCGUGUACUGAGGCUGAGGCGUGAUGUGGAGGGAACUUGUUCCCGAAGGGAUUGAGCCUACGCUGCCGAGAAAAGCUUCUAGUGAGAAAGCUGCCGCCCGUACCGUAAACCGACACAGGUAUGCGGGGAGAGAAUCCUAAGGUGCGCGGGAGAACCCUCGUUAAGGAACUCGGCAAAAUGUACCCGUAACUUCGGGAUAAGGGUAGCCACAGUGGUGAAGGGACUUGCUCCUGGAGCCUAGUGUGGUCGCAGAGAAGAGGCCCAAGCGACUGUUAACCAGAAACACAGGUGCCUGCGAAAGAGAAAUCUGAUGUAUAGGUGCUGACACCUGCCCAGUGCUGGAAGGUUAAAGAAGGAUGUCCGGGUUCGACCCAAAGCAUUUGACUGAAGCCCCAGUGAACGGCGGCCGUAACUAUAACGGUCCUAAGGUAGCGAAAUUCCUUGUCGGGUAAGUUCCGACCCGCACGAAAGGUGUAACGAUUUGGGCACUGUCUCAACGAGGGACCCGGUGAAAUUGAAAUACCUGUGAAGAUGCAGGUUACCCGCGACUGGACAGAAAGACCCCAUGGAGCUUUACUGUAACCUAAUAUUGGGUUCUGAUAUUCGACGCACAGGAUAGGUGGGAGGCUUGGAGCAUGGUCCUCUGGGAUCAUGGGAGCCGCCGUUGGGAUACCACCCUUCGAAUAUCGGGAUUCUAACCGCAGGAGCAACGAUCCUCGGGACAGUGUUAGGCGGGCAGUUUGACUGGGGCGGUCGCCUCCUAAAGAGUAACGGAGGCGCCCAAAGGUUCCCUCAGCGCGGACGGAAACCGCGCGACGAGUGUAAAGGCAGAAGGGAGCUUGACUGCGAGCCAAACACGGCGAGCAGGUACGAAAGUAGGGCUUAGUGAUCCGGUGGCAUCCAAGUGGAAGGGCCAUCGCUCAACGGAUAAAAGCUACCCUGG
This 2288-nucleotide ribosomal RNA is filed under the name human gut metagenome. Its description in RNAcentral is "bacterial LSU rRNA". It matches the Rfam family "Bacterial large subunit ribosomal RNA", at positions 181 to 2471 of the family's 2925-position model. The record is from RNAcentral.